RNAcentral lists this transfer RNA (72 nucleotides) under Methanomassiliicoccales archaeon. Its description in RNAcentral is "tRNA-Gly". It matches the Rfam family "tRNA". From Rfam's summary of the family: Transfer RNA (tRNA) molecules are approximately 80 nucleotides in length. Their secondary structure includes four short double-helical elements and three loops (D, anti-codon, and T loops). Further hydrogen bonds mediate the characteristic L-shaped molecular structure. tRNAs have two regions of fundamental functional importance: the anti-codon, which is responsible for specific mRNA codon recognition, and the 3' end, to which the tRNAs corresponding amino acid is attached (by aminoacyl-tRNA synthetases). tRNAs cope with the degeneracy of the genetic code in two manners: having more than one tRNA (with a specific anti-codon) for a particular amino acid; and 'wobble' base-pairing, i.e. permitting non-standard base-pairing at the 3rd anti-codon position. The record is from RNAcentral. Lineage: Archaea; Methanobacteriati; Thermoplasmatota; Thermoplasmata; Methanomassiliicoccales.
GCGGGUAUAGUCUAGUGGUCAGGACAGAAGCUUCCCAAGCUUCGAGCCCGGGUUCGAAUCCCGGUACCCGCA